UCUCCAUUGGUGGUAGUUUAAUCAAUUUUUUAGAAACUUUCAGAAUUAAAAGUAAUUAAAAAAAUGAAAACAGCGCUAAAAACUUAACCAUCGAUGCUAAUUUAAGAGUUUUUAGAGUUGUAUCUUAACUAUAACGUGUCGGUAUGUGAGUGGCUAGGGAAUUUUUUUUUGUUUCUUUGUUCUUUGCCGUCGUCUCGUCUAUAUCGCUGGCGUCGACUACAAAGUGGAGACCAUAGUAAGAGCUCAUACAAGAGAAAUAUAACCACAGUGGAAUCUAACGAGGAAGAAGUUAGAAUAGCAAUGAAUAUGGCUGAGAAGAAACUUUCGGAGAAUGAUUACAAUGGAGCGAAGAUAUGCGUUGACAAGGCUAAGAAUUUGUAUCCGAACCUUGAUUGGUUUGAAGUUAACUUUGUUACGAGGUUGUGCUUUCAUCUUGGGAGUCAGUCGUUGAGUUGCAGCCAAGACUAGAUGAGAUAUCGAAAUGCCCUUGUGAAGGAAUGAUGGUGACUGCCGCUGC
Molecule: non-coding RNA, 517 nt
Organism: Camelina sativa (false flax)
Lineage: Eukaryota; Viridiplantae; Streptophyta; Magnoliopsida; Brassicales; Brassicaceae
Source: RefSeq, a predicted model, not a curated record